AGAACUUCAAAGACUUAGUGCUCAGGGGAUAUAAAAAUAAUGCAUUGUAUGCCGGAAGGGAUAAAUCUGGGGCUGAGUACAAGCAAAACAAGACCAAAGGAAGCUACCUGAGCAGGUAUUCCAGAUACUCAUGUCAUACACCAAGGUUGUACCAGUGCCCCUUUCUCUGUGACACAUCCAUCCACUGGAAACUUUCGUACAACUAGCUGAAAGAAGAGAAACAUCCUAUUUCAUGUCACUGGAGCCCUAAUGAUCGCAGCCAUUUCAGGAAAUGCCAUCAAUUACAGUGAGGAGCUCAUUCAGAAGUGAAAGAUGAGUUCCAUUCUCUGUUACUUAGAGGUAUUACAAAGCUCAAAUCUGAGAAAACCUUGUCUACCAUCAACCCUGACCUACAGAGGAGAGGCACCCCCAAGCUUAUUAGUGAUCCUGUCUCCGUCUUAUUGGCACAUCCUGAUGGCCUUGAUCUCUAGUUCUUCCUGUGGAGCAUAACCAUAUGGUUCUUUGCCAAGAUGUUAAGACCAAAGUCGGAGAGUGAACCCCAUGUCAAUGAAUUCUUGUUUUUCUGAUCUUACAUUCCAUCACUUUGAUCCAGUACUCUCAAAAUGCAAUCACAGUUGUACAUGUCUUCUCCUGUCAAUAAACGCUACCUUAGUACUGCA
RNAcentral lists this long non-coding RNA (659 nucleotides) under Homo sapiens (human). RNAcentral describes it as "novel transcript". Lineage: Eukaryota; Metazoa; Chordata; Mammalia; Primates; Hominidae. The record is from RNAcentral.